UAGAAGGGACAUAACUCUUAAUAGCCACUGGUGGCGCUACGAUCGAGCCGAAUUCCAGCCUAGUUCGGCAAGGGUGGAAACUGGACUUUUAAAGUCAAUUAACUCUCUUGCCUCGGGAAGAUGCCUUCAGAAAGGCAUAAGAUUGGUCUAGUGGUUAGUUUGUUUACUUGUUACACUGGAGACCUGGAUUUGGGUAGAAUGUGCCAUUCCAAUCAUGGGGUUCCAUUCUAUGAGAGGGUUGAAAUAUUGAGAAAAUAGAUGAGGAAAAUAUGCCUGUUCCUCUUAGGAAGUAUUUAAAUCCAUGAUAAGUAAAAGUAAAACUAUUAUUUGUAAAUUUUGGGUUGAAAGUUUCAUAAACCAAGACAUUACAAUGAGCUUGAAGGGUGACUGAGGAAAUGGUAGACAUGGGAACUUGGGUAACGAGGAGGAGGGAGAACCUUGCAGAGCACCACAUGGCGUCACGGGACAUUCUGCUGAAAGUAUGGAACGUCACAUUGAGUCGUUGACUGUGAUUUAGUGUAAGUUGUGUGGCUUCUAAAGGUUUUGUGGUUAUUAGAACAUUUUGUGAUGAUUAGAAGACUUUGUGAUCAGUAGAACCAUUUGUGAAUAAUAGACAGUUUUGUGCUGAAUAGACAGAUUUGUGGUUAAAAGUAAACAAGGAGGUAGAUAUUUGUGUUUUUAUAUUAGUUGUUGUGAAGUUCUGUUUUGCUGGGAGUUUGAUGUUGGGCCACUGAGAUUUGAAAACUAAACAUGGCGCCUUAGGUUUGAGGAAGCCCAUGUUCGUGUAGUAUGUAUGGUCAUAUCGUCAGCAUGCUGAUAUUAUAUUUAUUGCUGUCAGUUAGGAUAACAAAACGUAGAGAUGCUGUACAGCUUUGGAGAUAUAUUUACAAUUUGGAGAUAAUUUAUCCUGUAGAAGUAAUAUGUUGAUACUGUAAAUAUGUAAGUAUUUGAAACAUUUGUACAUUUGUGAUCACAUAUAUAGGUAUGUAACACAUUUUUAUUGAAAAUCUGACUCCAAAUAUUCUGAAGGUGUAUCAUAUCUUUACAGUUCUUGUACUUGUGGUAAUUUGAAGGCAUAGAUUGUGUUUAUUUGUUAAAGACACUGUAAAUUGUAUAAAUUCCACUUUCUGAUCUCACUGCUAUAACUAAUGGAGUGACUAUGUUUGUCUUGCAUAAUGUGUUUCUUGUCUUUCUGCUCCUGCUUUGUGCUUAGGUUGUGUUUGGGCAGGUUGUGCUCAUAAACUGUUUGGGCAGGCUGUGCUUGUAAACUGUUUGGGCAGGUUGUGCUCAUAAACUGUUUGGGCAGGCUGUGCUCAUAAACUGUUUGGGCAGGCUGUGCUCGUAAACUGUUUGGGUCUCAGGCUCUCAGCGUUGACACAUGGUACAUUCAUAACUUAAAAUGGCCAGCUUUAUUUCUUGCUUUCCCAUCUCUCCUAGAUGUACCACCCACACCUUUAUGUCCUACCCUUUUCAUCGAUUAGAGUCCAAAUACUUGUAUGACAGACCUAGAAUUAGUGUAGAAAGGAAGGCAUUUGGAAACCAUUUUUCAGACGUAUUGUGAAUAACACUCUCUGCAUAUAUUUGAUAGAUGUGAGCUUAUAAUAAAUAAUGAAUUUGUAUGGCGCCUGAUACCAAUUAAAAGCUGCGAUUUGAUAAGACCUGUCCUUGCUCUGACAUGGUUCUUGUCUAGCUGAGAACAGUAUUCCAUCUUACACCUGUUGGCUGCAUUGUUCUGAAGUGUUUUAACAUUUGGUUUAGUACAUAAGAAAGUUACCCGUGAUCCGGGUUAGAAUUGGCUUUAGCAACCCAUGCUUGCUGUAAGAGGCGACUAUGCUGUCAGAGAAAGAAGGUUCCUUGUUUAAUCGUCUGUAAAUGGUUUCCAGUGCGUCGCUAUGAGUCCUUUAGUUCAGGUAUAACACCAAUUAUCCCAGAUCAUAAAAUUCCAACAUCUUCAAUAAAUCAAAAAUACACAUGUGAUAUUCAACAGUACAUACUUUCUCUAUUUAUUGAAAACAUAGCCAGUUAUUUAUGACCCAAAGUGUUCCAUUCCUUGUUUCCAUGGUUACAGUGUAAUAUCUCAAGCAUCUUCCUCAUAAGAGGGUAGGCUUGUCAUUCCAACACCUGCAAUGUGUAAAUAUAUAUUAAGUAGGAUAGAUAUUUAGGGUGGAGAAUAAGAUGCUACACGACACAACCUAACAAAUCUAAGGUAUAUCAUUUUGGAUGACAUGAAAAGUAACAUUUGAAGCACUUACUGCUUACCAGUACGAAAUGGGAUAUUUUGUUCAUGACUGAAUGAAGUUGCUCUUAUGAAAUAACCAGUAAACUUACAGUAGUAAGAGGGGAAUUGGGAUCAAAUCAUGAGAGACUCAUUAAUUUGGUUGUUGGUGAUAAUAGGAUUCUUCUCCUUUUACUCCCCUUUAGAGAUGAGACUGCUACAUUUGUGACAAGUGGAUCUCACAGCUCUCACCAGUCUUGUCUCAGUUAUCUGUGCUAUGACUGUCAGAGCUACAACUACCGUAAAUCUAGGUUAGGACAUUCAUAGAGCUACAGACUAUUAUGUAAAUCAUAGGGCUACAACUCUGUGUUACGACAGUCGGCAUUACAAUUGCUCUGUGUAAUGUGGGCAAGAUGUGUGAAGUUCCCUUCGAAGGCCUGCCCCUGUGGUUGGUGAAGAAAGCAUCACCUGUCCGAGUAUGCAUUGUUAUCAUUGCUCAUCUCCAAGUGUUAUAUAUAUUUUAAGUCUGUGUUACAGUAGAUAUGCUGUUUGUCAUUUGUUAUUUUCUUGUUGCAUCUUUAUGUGCAUUUGAGGGAAGUAGGUGAAAGUCCACAUGUCAAACAUGAUGGGUAUGUUUCAGGAUCAUAUGAUGCUUAGAUCAUGAAAUGGAAAACUAAGAAGCUACUUCACUGUAGAAACUUCAGAAGUAAUUUUAUUGAUAAGUACUGCAGAAAACAGAGUCAUCUCCCUUAGACUAUUUCAGUUUUUCCCCUAAUGCACAGUGAGAUUUGAAAUUGUUUUAUUGUCCAUUCCUUGCCAGAACUGACUUAAAAUUAGCCACUCCACAUUGCAGAGUAGAUCUGAAUUGUUCAAGUGUCAAGUUAUGUACAGCAAGAAAAUAUUUACUUUUUUGCCAUAUUUCAAAUUAGAUGACAAUAAAAUUAUGUAAGCCUGAA
This is a long non-coding RNA of Haliotis rufescens (red abalone), 3171 nucleotides long. RefSeq lists it as uncharacterized. The record is from RefSeq and is a predicted model, not a curated record. Lineage: Eukaryota; Metazoa; Mollusca; Gastropoda; Lepetellida; Haliotidae. The transcript has 2 exons.